CAGCCAACUAUGCUACCACAUGCUCCUUAAAUAAAAGGUCGUCUGCAUUAGAAGAUGCAUUAAGGCAUCAUAUGUACAACAGAACUGCUUUCAGUAUGACUGAUGUGUUACCAGGAAAUGCCUUGGUGAUCAAAAUCACACACAUCUCAUACAGCCAAGUACUGCAUCACAUGCUAAAAACCCCUUCCUGAAAUAAGGUGGCUGAUCGGAUGUACCUCACACCUCAGGAGCUGUGAUGGAGUACCAUGACUUUAAACAACUGAUGGUAGGAUGACUGCUAACUGAAAAGGAUUUUGAAGGACGUGGUUGUGACUCAAAUGAGGUAAUAUCCUGGUAUUUGCUUGUCAUGACUGAUGAAAUCCACAAAAGAACUUCAGUCAGGCUAGCCAGAGUGACCUGGCUGAGAUUCAAAUGAAACACCAGCUCAACAGAAGCCUAAGUGUUACCUUCAUGCCAACCUGCUUGGUGUAGUGCUGUAACAGUUCUGUUUUGUUUGUAAAGAUUCUGUAUUAUGAACGCAUAUUAUAUUUUUUAUAUACAUGUAUAUUCAUGAGGUCCAAGUAAGUAGUUAAUCGUCAUUAACUUAAACCCAAGAAUGUGAAUAUGGCAUAAAAUAUUCAUUUCAAAGUUUGUAAUAUCAUCUGAGACAUUUUUCAAUACAUACAACAAGCACACAUAUCCCUUCUGCUCCCUGGAUUUGCUUUCCUUGUAAAUAUUAAAAUGCAGCUAAAGACUUAAAGCAGGAUGAACACUUAAAUUAAGAUAUUAAGCUUACUCAUUUAAUUAAAAAAGUGGUAAUUAGGGUACAAAUCACAACCUAAAACUCUACUGCAAUACUUGCAUACUAUAUUAACAAGUAUGGCACCCACAUAUAUUGGCAAACAUAUGGAGAGUUCUCUGUUAGGUCAGCACUAGGGAACAGGAGAGAGAGAAAUUGAAAGAAACAUUCCAUCUUUAUAUAAAUUAUACUUGUAUUGUGAUUUAUCUAAAAAUUUAUUUAGAGGCCCCUCAACAUUAAAUUCCAUUACAAUUGUUUCAUCCACAAUGGAGCUGUUAUGUGCUUACAAAUGGAAAACAGAGAACACAAUGGAAACUCUUGUACUGUUGCUAAAAGCACCUACAAAAAUUCUUGGUUAUGGCUUAAUUUUGCUUAACAGCUCUUCAUGUCUGUUAUUAAUCUUCUGCCUCCUGUGCUCCAUGUAUGUCCUCCUUUAAAUACAAUAGUUAAUUAUGGGGC
Cryptotermes secundus is the source of this 1237-nucleotide long non-coding RNA. RefSeq lists it as uncharacterized. NCBI's taxonomy places the organism in Eukaryota, Metazoa, Arthropoda, Insecta, Blattodea, Kalotermitidae. The record is from RefSeq and is a predicted model, not a curated record. The transcript has 4 exons.